RNAcentral lists this transfer RNA (70 nucleotides) under Leuckartiara octona. RNAcentral's name for it is "tRNA-Trp". It matches the Rfam family "tRNA". Rfam says of the family: Transfer RNA (tRNA) molecules are approximately 80 nucleotides in length. Their secondary structure includes four short double-helical elements and three loops (D, anti-codon, and T loops). Further hydrogen bonds mediate the characteristic L-shaped molecular structure. tRNAs have two regions of fundamental functional importance: the anti-codon, which is responsible for specific mRNA codon recognition, and the 3' end, to which the tRNAs corresponding amino acid is attached (by aminoacyl-tRNA synthetases). tRNAs cope with the degeneracy of the genetic code in two manners: having more than one tRNA (with a specific anti-codon) for a particular amino acid; and 'wobble' base-pairing, i.e. permitting non-standard base-pairing at the 3rd anti-codon position. Lineage: Eukaryota; Metazoa; Cnidaria; Hydrozoa; Anthoathecata; Pandeidae. The record is from RNAcentral.
AGGGGGUUAGAUUAAGUAGAUCGGAUAGUCUUCAAAACUAUUGGUGUUGGUUCAAAUCCGACAUCCCUUG